CUGUCGUGACUUGCUGAGACAAAUGAAUCCCCCCCAGUGCGUGACACUGAGGUGACCGUGUUCUGUCUUGCCCUUUGACCCCAGGGAGACGAGGACCUGCUGACAGUAUACAUAGGAGAGAUCUUCCUGGAGUUCGUCAAUAUGCUGCCCGCCUUCCAGACAUACUGCCUGCAGCAGUCCACCUCGGUCAACAUGCUCAACACCCUGGAGAAGGAGAAAGAACUGCUCCGGAUCUUCCUGGAUGUUUCCCAGAACGACAACACGGCGCUGCGUCGCAUGAACUUGCGCUCCUUCCUCAUAGCGCCGCUCCAACGCGUGACCAAAUACCCGCUUCUGUUGAGCCGCAUCAUCAAGGUCACUCCCGAGUGCCACCCGGACUACGCGCGUCUCCGCGAGGCCAAGAGCCGCGUGGAGUCCCACCUGGAGCACAUCAACAUGAAGACCAAGCAGGAGGGCAACGGCGUCACCUGGUCCCUCCGCUCAUUCCGCCGCGACAGCCGCAAGAACCGGGAGGUGAUCAACAUCGAGAUGCGAGAGGUGUCGAUGAAGACGGUGGGCUGGGCGAGAGAAAACACGCGCUUCGUCAUGGAGGGCCCGCUUCAGUUGUCCCAGCCAGCGGACGGUCAGUGGGUGAAGAAAGGCACCAAGGCCCUCAAGUUUCAAAACGUUCAGAGUCUGCUGAUGGUGAGGACACAGCGGGUGGGUGAAGCACCGGGACAGGGCAACGACCUGGGGGCACGGGGAGAUCAGGGGGAAGGUGGCGGCUGUGGUGAGAGCAUUCGAGACGGAGUGCUGGUUCUAAUCAAGGACAAAAGCAGCGGGAAGUUCACCGUGCUGAGAGAGCCCAUCCGACUGGGGAACUGUGUGGUUUCCACAGAUCCAGACUGCGAGGACACAUUCGAGGUCCUCGAUAUCCGGCGGGAGUCUUUCGUUUUCCGCGCCUCAGACAAAUCUCGCACCCAGCAGUGGUUCCAUCAGAUUAAGAGAUACACUCGGGACUUGGGCACCUGGAGGAAAAGACGCAACGCUUUACCCAACAUCAUGAUCAACACAAACCAGAGCCGCUCCUGA
RNAcentral lists this long non-coding RNA (1071 nucleotides) under Echeneis naucrates (live sharksucker). Its description in RNAcentral is "lncRNA (ENSENLG00000019265.1)". The record is from RNAcentral. Lineage: Eukaryota; Metazoa; Chordata; Actinopteri; Carangiformes; Echeneidae.